AAGUCGUAACAAGGUUUCCGUAGGUGAACCUGCGGAAGGAUCAUUAACACAUCCUUUUCUAUAUCAACAUUGUCGCACUGGGAACCAUUCGUAAGUAGAGGCCGCGUAUGGCAAGGGUAGAUUCAUGUCAUGAGCAUGAUUGGCCUGCAGGAUGGUAGACGACUUACUUUCGGGUUGGUCGGACCUACAACUCUACUUCUUUUGGGCAUACAGCGUCUAUAAAUACCUCGCUGGAACUUUUUUUUUUUCAACCUUGAAUUUAAUUUUGAAUUGGCUGGGAUCGAGAAGGGCCCUCACAGGUCUGCCUCUCUUGGCUUUUUGAUGGAGAAAUCCAUUAAAUAAACUAAAACACAACUCUUAACAGCGGAUAUCUCGGUUCUC
This 381-nucleotide unclassified non-coding RNA is filed under the name fungal sp. RNAcentral's name for it is "partial internal transcribed spacer region". The stretch from base 1 to 46 matches the Rfam family "Eukaryotic small subunit ribosomal RNA", at positions 1786 to 1831 of the family's 1831-position model. Lineage: Eukaryota; Fungi. The record is from RNAcentral.